AACGAACGCUGGCGGCAUGCCUAACACAUGCAAGUCGAACGAGAUCUUCGGGUCUAGUGGCGCACGGGUGCGUAACGCGUGGGAAUCUGCCCUUUGGUUCGGAAUAACAGUUGGAAACGACUGCUAAUACCGGAUGAUGACGAAAGUCCAAAGAUUCAUCGCCAGAGGAUGAGCCCGCGUAGGAUUAGCUAGUUGGUGUGGUAAAGGCGCACCAAGGCGACGAUCCUUAGCUGGUCUGAGAGGAUGAUCAGCCACACUGGGACUGAGACACGGCACAGACUCCUACGGGUGGCAGCAGUGGGGAAUAUUGGACAAUGGGCGAAAGCCUGAUCCAGCAAUGCCGCGUGAGUGAUGAAGGCCUUAGGGUUGUAAAGCUCUUUUACCCGGGAUGAUAAUGACAGUACCGGGAGAAUAAGCUCCGGCUAACUCCGUGCCAGCCGCCGCCGUAA
RNAcentral lists this ribosomal RNA (449 nucleotides) under uncultured bacterium. Its description in RNAcentral is "partial 16S ribosomal RNA". It matches the Rfam family "Bacterial small subunit ribosomal RNA", at positions 29 to 523 of the family's 1533-position model. The record is from RNAcentral.